GGAAAGGAGUUGAAGUGAAGAAAACUUUGUCCGUGUGUCUCCUCGUGGUGGUCGUUGGGUCGUGCGCGGGUCAGAGUAUCCAGCAGCUGCUCAACAACAUCGGCAUCAACAACCCCACAACCGUAGCGGAGAUCAGAAGCAUCUUAUCUAAAGAUAACCAACACAAUGUAGUAUCCUGUUUGGUCAAUGGCGUGGCUGCCGACGCUGGACGACCGUGCGAUGCAAGAACAGAUGACUUUAGGAACCUCUUGACGCAACUUGACAGGAACAAUUACAACUGCAACUGCCCGGAGCAAGCCCAGGUCGAUACCUUCGCCAAUUUAAUCAGAAAUAUUCUUGGUGCAACAAACUGCAAUACCGUGAGGAACGCAUUGCAACUGCAAAACUUACGUUGUUAAAGCAGGUGAACAGUCUAGUUGGUGUGGAACUAAGAAGAUGAGAGAGUUUGGGUUUUUUUUUGGUAGCAAGAUGCAAUAGCGUAAGAAUACAGAGGCGAUUCCCCUGCGCGGCUGAGCAUCCAGAAAUUUUCAAAUGCUUGCCACAUAUCGUGAAAUAAAGGCGGAGAACA
Molecule: unclassified non-coding RNA, 568 nt
Filed under: Penaeus chinensis
Lineage: Eukaryota; Metazoa; Arthropoda; Malacostraca; Decapoda; Penaeidae
Description: uncharacterized LOC125024525, transcript variant X2
Source: RNAcentral